GACGAACGCUGGCGGCGUGCUUAACACAUGCAAGUCGAACGGAAAGGCCCCCAUCUUGGUGGGGGUGCUCGAGUGGCGAACGGGUGAGUAACACGUGGGUGAUCUGCCCUGUACUUCGGGAUAAGCUUGGGAAACUGGGUCUAAUACCGGAUAGGACCAUGGUUUAGUGUCUCAUGGUGGAAAGAUUAUUGUUUUGGUGCAGGAUGAGCUCGCGGCCUAUCAGCUUGUUGGUGGGGUAAUGGCCUACCAAGGCGUCGACGGGUAGCCGGCCUGAGAGGGUGGACGGCCACAUUGGGACUGAGAUACGGCCCAGACUCCUACGGGAGGCAGCAGUGGGGAAUAGUGCACAAUGGGCGCAAGCCUGAUGCAGCGACGCCGCGUGGGGGAGGACGGCCUUCGGGGUGUAAACUCCUUUCGUUAGGGACGAAGCCGCACUUUUUUUGGGUGUGGUGACGGUACCUUUGGUAAGAAGCACCGGCUAACUACGU
Molecule: ribosomal RNA, 488 nt
Filed under: uncultured bacterium
Lineage: Bacteria
Description: partial 16S ribosomal RNA
Rfam family: Bacterial small subunit ribosomal RNA
Source: RNAcentral